This 570-nucleotide long non-coding RNA is filed under the name Schistocerca americana (American grasshopper). RNAcentral's name for it is "uncharacterized LOC124606672". Lineage: Eukaryota; Metazoa; Arthropoda; Insecta; Orthoptera; Acrididae. The record is from RNAcentral.
AAUGCUUUCAGUUGCGUUUGCAAUAGAGAAAUCAACUUGAACGCUUAGCUGAAAGGACUGUCAACCGUUCAAGGCUAAGUAUUGUCCCUCCAUACACAUAUGAGCCGAUCUGUUUUCAGACGUACACUACCUAUUCACUUGCACGGACGUGGUACGAACUUCUGAAUAUGAAGGUGCUGGCUAUCCUGCUCGCUCUCUGUGCGUUGGCAACCCUGACGUUGGCUGACCCCCAGUGUCCAGCCCACGACGGCGCCACGCCCACCUACUACGCUGACGAGUCAGACCCUAACGGCUUCUGGGAAUGCAGCAAUGGCGUAGCCAUUCACCAGAACUGUGCUCCAGGACUCGCCUGGAACAUCCACAUCAACGCCUGUGACUGGCCUUAAGCGAGCAACUGCAUAAUCAGAAUAGUCCACUGGCAUUCUCUGCACUUUUCUCUAUUACCUAAGGGCAGUGUCACACUUAUAUGCUUGUAUACGUGUGAAACACCCCACGUUGACGCUAGUCUCAGGUUUUCUGAUGUAAAUUAACAACAAAAUUCGAAACAAAUAUACAAGAGUUUUAAUGUGA